Molecule: long non-coding RNA, 248 nt
Filed under: Phoenix dactylifera (date palm)
Lineage: Eukaryota; Viridiplantae; Streptophyta; Magnoliopsida; Arecales; Arecaceae
Description: long non-coding RNA (PDAC_LNC023112)
Source: RNAcentral
ACUAUUAAGGCAAGGAACACAUGCAUACUAUGAUUGAUCAGGGACCUAUUAUUAGAUCCCCACACGUGUACUUAAUGAUAAUAGGAAGGCCUCAAGAGUUCAUAUUUGUUAACUGCAUUUUUGUUAGCCUUAUCCGUAAAAGAAGUAUGAGUAUCCUUGUUCGUACCAUAAGGUUCAGGAUUUGGUUUUCACAUAAAGAUAGAGGUUGAAUAUCCCGACUAGAUUACUUAGGUGCCUUAUGAUCCGAC